UGCUGGUUCUCUAGGGAACAUUGUGCACACUUGUCAUCUUUAUAUCUCCACCUGUGCACCUUUUGUAGACCUGGAUGUCUCUCCGAGUGCUUGUUUUGCACCUUGGGUUUUGAGGAUUGACUUUAUUGUCUCUACCUUACAUUUCUAGGCCUAUGUUUUCAUCAUAUACUCCAAUGUAUGUUAUAGAAUGUAAUACAUGGGACUUUGUGCCCUAUAAACUUUAUACAACUUUCAGCAACGGAUCUCUUGGCUCUCGCAUCGAUGAAGAACGCAGCGAAAUGCGAUAAGUAAUGUGAAUUGCAGAAUUCAGUGAAUCAUCGAAUCUUUGAACGCACCUUGCGCUCCUUGGUAUUCCGAGGAGCAUGCCUGUUUGAGUGUCAUUAAUAUAUCAACCUCUUCAACUUUUGCUUGUUUGAGUGUUGGAUGUGGGGGUAUUUUUUGUUGGCUUCUAACGAAGUCAGCUCCCCUCAAAUUUAUUAGCAGAUUAAUUUGUUGAUCCUGUUCAUUGGUGUGAUAAUUA
RNAcentral lists this ribosomal RNA (520 nucleotides) under Thaxterogaster croceocoeruleus. Its description in RNAcentral is "eukaryotic LSU rRNA". The stretch from base 227 to 380 matches the Rfam family "5.8S ribosomal RNA". The record is from RNAcentral. Lineage: Eukaryota; Fungi; Basidiomycota; Agaricomycetes; Agaricales; Cortinariaceae.